This 439-nucleotide non-coding RNA is filed under the name Pan troglodytes (chimpanzee). Lineage: Eukaryota; Metazoa; Chordata; Mammalia; Primates; Hominidae. The record is from RNAcentral.
CCACGUAAGAAGUGCCUUUCGCCUCCCGCCAUGAUUCUGAGGCCUCCCCAGCCAUGUGGACCUGUUGUCGCUGCCCUCAGCCUCCAGAUGCAGCCCCCUGCCACCUUCAGGACCCGUGGCUCUCCCCUGGACUCAGUAGUGAAAGGGUUUAUGUGCUCGGAGGGAGUCCUUCAGGAAUCUGUGCAUAGAAUGCCAUAGUGCAGAGGAAAGUCUUCUUUCUGAAAGCAGCCCAACUUUUCUCCCAGAGAGUAUCAUGGAACUGAACUUUCAAGAUCAUGGCAUCUGGACAUCGAGAAAACAGAACCCUCAUCUGGCCACCUGCUGCUUUUUGACCAAUUCCCAUAUAAACCGCUAACUUCAGUCAGUUGGAGGGAUGGAUUUGAGAUUUGCCUUCUGUCUCUCAGCUGAUGUCACCAGCAAUAAAGCCUUCUUCCCUGGC